RNAcentral lists this transfer RNA (68 nucleotides) under Marmota monax (woodchuck). RNAcentral describes it as "tRNA.Ala". The stretch from base 7 to 63 matches the Rfam family "tRNA", at positions 8 to 63 of the family's 71-position model. From Rfam's summary of the family: Transfer RNA (tRNA) molecules are approximately 80 nucleotides in length. Their secondary structure includes four short double-helical elements and three loops (D, anti-codon, and T loops). Lineage: Eukaryota; Metazoa; Chordata; Mammalia; Rodentia; Sciuridae. The record is from RNAcentral.
GGAUUGUAGCUCAGUGGUAGAGCGCUCGCCUAGCAUGUGUGAAGCCCUGGGUUUGAUCCUCAGAGCCA